GACGGAGGAUGCAAGCGUUACCCGGAAUUAUUGGGCGUAAAGCGUCCGCAGGUGGUGGGGGGUGUCUAUUGUCAAAGCGUCAUGCUUAACAUGAUAUAGGCAGUAGAAACUACACAGCUAGAGUGCGUUCGGGGCAGAGGGAAUUCCUGGUGUAGCGGUGAAAUGCGUAGAGAUCAGGAAGAACACCGGUGGCGAAAGCGCUCUGCUAGACCGCAACUGACACUGAGGGACGAAAGCUCGGGGAGCGAAUGGG
This 253-nucleotide ribosomal RNA is filed under the name uncultured bacterium. RNAcentral's name for it is "partial 16S ribosomal RNA". It matches the Rfam family "Bacterial small subunit ribosomal RNA", at positions 524 to 776 of the family's 1533-position model. The record is from RNAcentral.